RNAcentral lists this ribosomal RNA (254 nucleotides) under uncultured bacterium. RNAcentral describes it as "partial 16S ribosomal RNA". It matches the Rfam family "Bacterial small subunit ribosomal RNA", at positions 524 to 777 of the family's 1533-position model. The record is from RNAcentral.
UACAGAGGUCCCAAGCGUUGUUCGGAUUCACUGGGCGUAAAGGGUGCGUAGGUGGCUUGGUAAGUUCGAUGUGAAAUCUCCGGGCUUAACCCGGAAAUGGCAUUGAAUACUAUUGAGCUGAAGGUUUGGAGGGGGGACUGGAAUUCUCGGUGUAGCAGUGAAAUGCGUAGAUAUCGGGAGGAACACCCGUGGCGAAGGCGGCCAUCUGGACCAGCACUGACGCUGAGGCACGAAAGCGUGGGGAGCAAACAGGG